Carassius gibelio (silver crucian carp) is the source of this 560-nucleotide long non-coding RNA. RefSeq lists it as uncharacterized. NCBI's taxonomy places the organism in Eukaryota, Metazoa, Chordata, Actinopteri, Cypriniformes, Cyprinidae. The transcript has 3 exons. The record is from RefSeq and is a predicted model, not a curated record.
AGACGGUGAACUAGCAUGUAUGCAAUUUUUACAAAUUUCUCCUGAAAGUUAAGUGUGUAUGAGUGUGUUUGUGAAGGAUUUGCAUCGUUUUUUUUUUUCCUGGUGUAAAAUCCUGUAAAUGUUAAACUUGUAAAUAGUUAAAUAUAAAAUACUUGCGUUCGCUGAUUAUUUAAUUGGAUAUGAAUUGAACAUAUUUGGCAACAAGAUGAGCACGUGAUCGGUGGGGGAGGGGAGCAACGGUUAGCGUCUGAUACCAGAGAAAAGUCUCUGUGAAUAAAACGGAUAUUAUCUCAAAUAUAAUCUCGAUUACAGAUUGCAGAUAACGAGGAUAUGAAGAACAUGAAGAUGGACUGGUUUCACAUGCAGAUGUUGCAGCAUCUGCAUCUGAGGUUGAGAAGACACUCAAUCUACCUGCCAAUCCUCAUCUGAUUUUGCUGGGUUAGUGUGUCAUUGCACAUGAUGAAGAAGAAACAUUUACUGAUGGCUGAGAUCUAAAAUUGUUAACAUUGCUGUUGUGCACAAUUGUUAAUAUUGCUUCUUUUUUUUCUUUUCUUUUUGUG